This 506-nucleotide ribosomal RNA is filed under the name uncultured bacterium. RNAcentral describes it as "partial 16S ribosomal RNA". It matches the Rfam family "Bacterial small subunit ribosomal RNA", at positions 29 to 523 of the family's 1533-position model. The record is from RNAcentral.
AGUGAACGCUGGCGGUAGGCCUAACACAUGCAAGUCGAACGGCAGCACAGGAGAGCUUGCUCUCUGGGUGGCGAGUGGCGGACGGGUGAGGAAUACAUCGGAAUCUACUUUUUCGUGGGGGAUAACGUAGGGAAACUUACGCUAAUACCGCAUACGACCUACGGGUGAAAGCAGGGGAUCUUCGGACCUUGCGCGAUUGAAUGAGCCGAUGUCGGAUUAGCUAGUUGGCGGGGUAAAGGCCCACCAAGGCGAAGAUCCGUAGCUGGUCUGAGAUGAUGAUCAGCAGCACUGGAAACAGGACACGGUCCAGACUCCUACGGGAGGCAGCAGUGGGGAAUAUUGGACAAGGGGCGCAAGCCUGAUCCAGCCAUACCGCGUGGGUGAAGAAGGCCUUCGGGUUGUAAAGCCCUUUUGUUGGGAAAGAAAUCCAGCUGGUUAAUACCCGGUUGGGAUGACGGUACCCAAAGAAUAAGCACCGGCUAACUUCGUGCCAGCCGCCGCGGUAA